RNAcentral lists this ribosomal RNA (497 nucleotides) under uncultured bacterium. Its description in RNAcentral is "partial 16S ribosomal RNA". It matches the Rfam family "Bacterial small subunit ribosomal RNA", at positions 28 to 507 of the family's 1533-position model. The record is from RNAcentral.
GAUGAACGCUGGCGGCGUGCCUAAUACAUGCAAGUCGAGCGAACAGACGAGGAGCUUGCUCCUCUGACGUUAGCGGCGGACGGGUGAGUAACACGUGGAUAACCUACCUAUAAGACUGGGAUAACUUCGGGAAACCGGAGCUAAUACCGGAUAAUAUAUUGAACCGCAUGGUUCAAUAGUGAAAGACGGUUUUGCUGUCACUUAUAGAUGGAUCCGCGCCGCAUUAGCUAGUUGGUAAGGUAACGGCUUACCAAGGCGACGAUGCGUAGCCGACCUGAGAGGGUGAUCGGCCACACUGGAACUGAGACACGGUCCAGACUCCUACGGGAGGCAGCAGUAGGGAAUCUACCGCAAUGGGCGAAAGCCUGACGGAGCAACGCCGCGUGAGUGAUGAAGGUCUUCGGAUCGUAAAACUCUGUUAUUAGGGAAGAACAAAUGUGUAAGUAACUAUGCACGUCUUGACGGUACCUAAUCAGAAAGCCACGGCUAACUACGUG